This 450-nucleotide ribosomal RNA is filed under the name uncultured Glomeromycotina. RNAcentral describes it as "SSU rRNA". It matches the Rfam family "Eukaryotic small subunit ribosomal RNA", at positions 569 to 1021 of the family's 1831-position model. The record is from RNAcentral. Lineage: Eukaryota; Fungi; Glomeromycota.
AGCAGCCGCGGUAAUUCCAGCUCCAAUAGCGUAUAUUAAAGUUGUUGCAGUUAAAAAGCUCGUAGUUGAACUUCGGGGUUUACCCAUUGGUCAGGCUUAAUUGUCUGUACUGGUGAGAUAAAUCUCUACCUUCUGAGGAACUUUCAUGUCAUUAAUUUGGUGUGAUUGGAAAUCAGGACUGUUACUUUGAAAAAAUUAGAGUGUUUAAAGCAGGCUAACGUCUGAAUACAUUAGCAUGGAAUAAUGAAAUAGGACGGACUGAUUCUAUUUCGUUGGUUUCUAGGAUCACCGUAAUGAUUAAUAGGGAUAGUUGGGGGCAUUAGUAUUCAAUUGUCAGAGGUGAAAUUCUUGGAUUUAUUGAAGACUAACUACUGCGAAAGCAUUUGCCAAGGAUGUUUUCAUUAAUCAAGAACGAAAGUUAGGGGAUCGAAGACGAUCAGAUACCGUCGU